RNAcentral lists this ribosomal RNA (497 nucleotides) under uncultured bacterium. Its description in RNAcentral is "partial 16S ribosomal RNA". It matches the Rfam family "Bacterial small subunit ribosomal RNA", at positions 28 to 507 of the family's 1533-position model. The record is from RNAcentral.
GAUGAACGCUGGCGUCGUGCCUAAUACAUGCAAGUCGAGCGAACAGACGAGGAGCUUGCUCCUCUGACGUUAGCGGCGGACGGGUGAGUAACACGUGGAUAACCUACCUAUAAGACUGGGAUAACUUCGGGAAACCGGAGCUAAUACCGGAUAAUAUAUUGAACCGCAUGGUUCAAUAGUGAAAGACGGUUUUGCUGUCACUUAUAGAUGGAUCCGCGCCGCAUUAGCUAGUUGGUAAGGUAACGGCUUACCAAGGCGACGAUGCGUAGCCGACCUGAGAGGGUGCUCGGCCACACUGGAACUGAGACACGGUCCAGACUCCUACGGGAGGCAGCAGUAGGGAAUCUUCCGCAAUGGGCGAAAGCCUGACGGAGCAACGCCGCGUGAGUGAUGAAGGUCUUCGGAUCGUAAAACUCUGUUAUUAGGGAAGAACAAAUGUGUAAGUAACUAUGCACGUCUUGACGGUACCUAAUCAGAAAGCCACGGCUAACUACGUG